CAGUCGCCGCGGGAAAACGUAGGUGGCAAGCGUUGUCCGGAAUUAUUGGGCGUAAAGGGCUCGCAGGCGGUUUCUUAAGUCUGAUGUGAAAGCCCCCGGCUCAACCGGGGAGGGUCAUUGGAAACUGGGAAACUUGAGUGCAGAGGAGGAGAGUGGAAUUCCACGUGUAGCGGUGAAAUGCGUAGAGACGUGGAGGAACACCAGUGGCGAAGGCGACUCUCUGGUCUGUAACUGACGCUGAGGAGCGAAAGCGUGGGGAGCGAACAGGAUUAGAUACCCCAGUAGUCCCUGUCUCUUAUAC
This 301-nucleotide ribosomal RNA is filed under the name uncultured bacterium. RNAcentral's name for it is "partial 16S ribosomal RNA". It matches the Rfam family "Bacterial small subunit ribosomal RNA", at positions 509 to 807 of the family's 1533-position model. The record is from RNAcentral.